This 480-nucleotide ribosomal RNA is filed under the name uncultured bacterium. RNAcentral describes it as "bacterial SSU rRNA". It matches the Rfam family "Bacterial small subunit ribosomal RNA", at positions 26 to 507 of the family's 1533-position model. The record is from RNAcentral.
ACGAGGACGAACGCUGGCGGCAUGCCUAACACAUGCAAGUCGAACGGAGAAUUCCUUCGGGAAUUUUUAGUGGCGAACGGGUGAGUAACGCGUAGGCAACCUGCCCUUUGGAUGGGGACAACAUUCCGAAAGGAGUGCUAAUACCGAAUGUGACGAUUUUACCGCAUGGUUUAAUCGUGAAAGAUGGCCUCUACAUGUAAGCUAUCGCUUGAAGAUGAGCUCGCGUCCGAUUAGAUAGUUGGUGAGGUAACGGCCCACCAAGUCGACGAUCGGUAGCCGGACUGAGAGGUUGAACGGCCACAUUGGGACUGAGACACGGCCCAGACUCCUACGGGAGGCAGCAGUGGGGAAUAUUGCACAAUGGGGGAAACCCUGAUGCAGCAACGCCGCGUGAAGGAAGACGGUCUUCGGAUUGUAAACUUUUGUUCUUAGUGAAGAAACAUGACGGUAGCUAAGGAGAAAGCCACGGCUAACUACGUG